UUCCUCGGACUUGAUUGGUUGAUAGGAAAUAUUAAAGAGAACUCGUCUAGGCGUUGUCGCGCUCAUAGUAUCUUUGGCUUCAGAAGGUAUCAUCACGGCGAACAGAAUUUUAUAAAAAUCUAAGAAUGAAUACACAAUUAGUUAUCGCUGUAGUAGCUGUUAUAAGCUGUUUUGGCCUAACAGAGGCGACAUGUAACAACUCUACAGCUAUGCAAUGUAAGACUACAUUUGAUGGUGCUACUAAAACAACCGAUGAACAAAAAUGCGAGACCCUUGAUACUUAUAUGCAUUGUUUGAUUGACGCCGAUUGUUUUACUGGUAGUGCUGCGUAUCGAGCUCAGUUUACUACCGCCGAAACGGCACAGGCUGUAACAUGUGAGUGUACCGCAAGUAGAGCUACAAAAUGUAUCACUGCAAGCUGCGAUGAUAUCGGCGACUACAAGGCCUGUUUAGAUGUUACUACUUGCUAUAAUGGUGUUUACAAGACUGCAUAUGAUGCUAAAAGUUUUUUAUGUGGUGGAGCAGGAGCAUCAACUGUAAGCCUAACUUUGAUGGCUAUCUCAUCUCUCUUUAUGAUUCUCAAAAACAACUUUUAAAUAAUUUUAUUUUUUAAAUCGCUUUACUAAUAGUUAUAUGAAGUUUCUCUUUUCAUUAUAAUAAAUAUUUAAAAAAUGUCCAUCGUUGAUCAAUAAAUAGCCAACAUUUUAAAUGUUGAUAUUAUUGGGUAUGAGAUGAUGAGCAUGAAUAUAUUGUAUAUAAAUGAUUAAUAGUUGUUAACCUGUUUUAUUAAAUUGUAUUUGUUGUUAAGCUUUAUCAUUUAAAUCAUAAUGAUUUAUUUUACUAACCGUUACUGGAAAUUCCAUAUCAAAAUUACAAAUCUGCUAAGUUCAUUUUCUUUUUGGUAAAUAGUGUAAAAUUUGUGAGAAUAAAUUAAAUUAUUUUUUUUUUAAAUCGUCAUUGACCAAUAAAGUAAACAUUUUAGAUGUUGAAAUAUUUGGAUAUGAAAUGACGAAACCAGUUAUACAAUCUUAAUUUCUUUCACUGUUUAUUGCUCAGUUUAUUUUUACAAAAUAAAGUUUUCUAAAGAAAGUC
Molecule: long non-coding RNA, 1092 nt
Organism: Patella vulgata (common limpet)
Lineage: Eukaryota; Metazoa; Mollusca; Gastropoda; Patellidae
Exons: 6
Source: RefSeq, a predicted model, not a curated record